UUGUAUAAAUUGUUGUUAGUCUGAUUUUGUAAUAGGACAGGCUAACAUUCACUUCGUUGAGACCAUGCAUGUGUCCCCAAACCUAAUUCUUUGCCUAGGUCUGCUUUUAUAAAUGGUGAUAAAC
Otolemur garnettii (small-eared galago) is the source of this 124-nucleotide small nucleolar RNA. Its record names the gene SNORA72. It matches the Rfam family "Small nucleolar RNA SNORA72". Rfam says of the family: U72 is a member of the H/ACA class of snoRNAs. The record is from Ensembl. Lineage: Eukaryota; Metazoa; Chordata; Mammalia; Primates; Galagidae.